This is a non-coding RNA of Pelodiscus sinensis (Chinese soft-shelled turtle), 329 nucleotides long. Lineage: Eukaryota; Metazoa; Chordata; Testudines; Trionychidae. The record is from RefSeq and is a predicted model, not a curated record.
CUUCCUCCACCAGGUCCUGCCCUGCACAUCCAGCCAGCGGCCCCCCCGCAAAGAAACUCCCAUCAAGACCCGCAGCACCCCGGAGAGCACGCUGGUCCUGGAGCUGGAGGGGACCCUGGUCUGCAGCUCCCUGAUGCCCAGCCACGAUGCCGAUUGCACCUUCCUCACGUCCUUCCAGGGGGACGUGUAUCGGGCUUACCUGAAGCUGCGCCCCCACGUGCAGGAGUUCCUGGAGACCCUUUCCAAGACCUAUGAGGUACCCGCUGGGCCCCGCCCUCCCUGGCUGCCGGAGAGAAUGGGGGUCGAAAGAGAAGCUUGUGCAGGAGGAA